RNAcentral lists this non-coding RNA (88 nucleotides) under Gemmatimonadota bacterium. RNAcentral describes it as "Gemmatimonadetes bacterium c-di-GMP sequence". It matches the Rfam family "c-di-GMP-I riboswitch aptamer". Rfam says of the family: GEMM was predicted in a large-scale screen for bacterial structured RNA regulatory elements. Genes associated with GEMM are involved in a diverse array of functions, including chemotaxis regulation, signal transduction, secretion and chitin. Lineage: Bacteria; Pseudomonadati; Gemmatimonadota. The record is from RNAcentral.
GCUGCCUCAGAGCAAACCCGUCGAAAGACGGAGACGCAGAGCCGCGGGGCUACCACGGGAAUCUCCGUACGCCAGCCGGGCCGCCCGG